This 253-nucleotide ribosomal RNA is filed under the name uncultured bacterium. Its description in RNAcentral is "partial 16S ribosomal RNA". It matches the Rfam family "Bacterial small subunit ribosomal RNA", at positions 524 to 776 of the family's 1533-position model. The record is from RNAcentral.
GACGUAGGGUGCAAGCGUUGUCCGGAAUUAUUGGGCGUAAAGAGCUCGUAGGCGGUCUGGCGCGUCGGCUGUGAAAACCCGGGGCUCAACCCCGGGCCUGCAUUCGAUACGGGCAGACUAGAGUGCGGUAGGGGAGACUGGAAUUCCUGGUGUAGCGGUGAAAUGCGCAGAUAUCAGGAGGAACACCGGUGGCGAAGGCGGGUCUCUGGGCCGUAACUGAUGCUGAGGAGCGAAAGCGUGGGGAGCAAACAGG